UGACGAUCUAAUUUGUCAAAUUUUCCUUUUGUACCUUUGCAGUUUUGUUCUUAUUUGUAGAUUUUUUUUUUCACGCAGGAAAGGUAUAAGUCAAAGUGGAGAGGUAUGUGGUCGAUUUCUGUCCAGUACAACCAGUUAAAAGGUUAGUUAAACUUUUUUGUUCAUCCUCGGUCUUUCAGCUUCUCAACUCAAUAUGAAAAUUAGCAGAUUAUUAUGGAUUGUUCAGCUACUUUCAGAGUUGCCUAAAUAAAUUUUUAUUUAUCUAUAAUCAUUGUACUGGGAGUUGUAUGUGCUUACUGAAAAUUGGCAUUCACAUAUUAUGUGUCAUGUUUACUUCGGCCAGUUUGGGUGACGCGCAGCUCUUAGGCUGGAACAUUUUGUAUUCAGCCGUUACUUUGAGACAUG
This 405-nucleotide long non-coding RNA is filed under the name Brachypodium distachyon (stiff brome). Its description in RNAcentral is "long non-coding RNA (BDIS_LNC005522)". Lineage: Eukaryota; Viridiplantae; Streptophyta; Magnoliopsida; Poales; Poaceae. The record is from RNAcentral.